RNAcentral lists this ribosomal RNA (625 nucleotides) under Leifsonia antarctica. RNAcentral describes it as "bacterial SSU rRNA". It matches the Rfam family "Bacterial small subunit ribosomal RNA", at positions 237 to 872 of the family's 1533-position model. Lineage: Bacteria; Bacillati; Actinomycetota; Actinomycetes; Micrococcales; Microbacteriaceae. The record is from RNAcentral.
CCUAUCAGGUAGUUGGUGAGGUAAAGGCUCACCAAGCCGACGACGGGUAGCCGGCCUGAGAGGGUGACCGGCCACACUGGGACUGAGACACGGCCCAGACUCCUACGGGAGGCAGCAGUGGGGAAUAUUGCACAAUGGGCGAAAGCCUGAUGCAGCAACGCCGCGUGAGGGACGAAGGCCUUCGGGUUGUAAACCUCUUUUAGUAGGGAAGAAGCGAAAGUGACGGUACCUGCAGAAAAAGCACCGGCUAACUACGUGCCAGCAGCCGCGGUAAUACGUAGGGUGCAAGCGUUGUCCGGAAUUAUUGGGCGUAAAGAGCUCGUAGGCGGUUUGUCGCGUCUGCUGUGAAAACUGGAGGCUCAACCUCCAGCCUGCAGUGGGUACGGGCAGACUAGAGUGCGGUAGGGGAGAUUGGAAUUCCUGGUGUAGCGGUGGAAUGCGCAGAUAUCAGGAGGAACACCGAUGGCGAAGGCAGAUCUCUGGGCCGCUACUGACGCUGAGGAGCGAAAGCAUGGGGAGCGAACAGGAUUAGAUACCCUGGUAGUCCAUGCCGUAAACGUUGGGAACUAGAUGUGGGGACCAUUCCACGGUCUCCGUGUCGCAGCUAACGCAUUAAGUUCCCCGC